RNAcentral lists this ribosomal RNA (253 nucleotides) under uncultured bacterium. Its description in RNAcentral is "partial 16S ribosomal RNA". It matches the Rfam family "Bacterial small subunit ribosomal RNA", at positions 524 to 776 of the family's 1533-position model. The record is from RNAcentral. RNAcentral also lists the same sequence under 1 other name.
GACGAACCGUGCGAACGUUGUUCGGAUUCACUGGGCUUAAAGGGCGCGUAGGCGGGCAUCCAAGUCAGGGGUGAAAGCCCCCGGCCCAACCGGGGAAGUGCCUUUGAUACUGGAUGCCUCGAGCGGGAUAGGGGCAGCUGGAACUUUCGGUGGAGCGGUGAAAUGCGUAGAUAUCGGAAGGAACGCCGGUGGCGAAAGCGAGCUGCUGGAUCCCUCCUGACGCUGAGGCGCGAAAGCCAGGGUAGCGAACGGG